Molecule: long non-coding RNA, 4287 nt
Filed under: Sus scrofa (pig)
Lineage: Eukaryota; Metazoa; Chordata; Mammalia; Artiodactyla; Suidae
Description: lncRNA (ENSSSCG00005021001.1)
Source: RNAcentral
AGGCAAUGGUAGGGGGUAGGGAUGGGCAGUUUGACCUCUGCCUGCCCACCUUCAGCAGCAGUGUGAGAUCCAACUGCUCAAGGAGCAUCUUCAGCUCAUGUCUUGUUUGCCUGACUCACUCCUUCUUCUUCAGCCAUGGGGAACCCCACCAUGAGGAAGAAAUCACUUGAGAGGCUAGUCUUGUUGGCUUCUGCCUGGUGGGGGGCCAGAGGGCCAGAAGCCAAGGCCAUUGGGUGACUACAGAAGCCAAUGGGGCUCUGGCCUCACAGCCAAUCAGAUGGGAAAGCUGAGGCACAAAGAGGUGGAGUGAACCAACCAUGGUCAUACAGCUAUAAGUAGCAGAGCUGGGAUUUGAAGACAGGUUAUCUGGCUCCAGAGUUGGUGGUUUCAGGGAUCCGAUCCUAGUGCAAGGACACACUGAGGAGGCACUAAAGGUUCAUAUUCAAGGCAGACUAUUUGAUCAACCACUGAAAUGAGAAGAGGCUAAGAGUGUACUGCACACAUGCUGUGGGAACAAAAACCUUCAGGAGUUGUUCUGCACUGACAUGACAAGAUGGAUUGGCUUGAGAAGAGGGGAGUCAGGGCUGAAAACUCCAUGGCCAGCAGACUUAGGUGUCUCCAGGGGACACCAGGCCUAAGAAGGUGUACUGUCAACAUUUAUUGUGAGUUUGGCACAUGCUGGGCUCUGUUCUAAGAAUUUACAUAUUUUAACACAGCCAAUGCUUAGAGCAACCCGAUGGAGCACCUUCAUUUUAAAGAUGAGAUGGGGGAAGUUCCCACUGUGGCUCAGUGGCAAAGAGCCCAACUAGUACCCAUGAGGAUGUGGGUUCGAUCCCUGGCCUCACUCAGUAGGUUAAGGAUCUGCCAUUUCUGUGAGCUGUGGUGUAGGUCGCAGAUGCAGCUCGGAUCCCACAUUGUGGUAGCUGUGGUGCAGGCUGGCAGCUGUAGCUGUGAUUGGACCCCAAGCCAGGGAACUUCCAUAUGCCACAGGAGCAGCCCCCAAAAACAAAAUAAAUAAAUAUAUACAUAUGAGGAGAUGGGAGAAUUCCCGCUGUGGUGCAGUAGGUUAAGGUUCAAUCCCCUGCCCAGCACAGUGGGUUAAAGGUCUGGCAUUGUCGCAGCGGUGGUGUAGGUUGCAGCUCCCAUUUGAAUUUUAUCACUAGCCCAGGAACUUCCAUAUGCCAAGACAGAGGCCAAAAAGAAAGAAAUAAUGAUGAAGAGAUGGGCAGAGUAUUUAAGGGACCUGGCCAAGGUCACACAGCUAAUGGUGGCCCAGGAUUAGGAACGUCAUAUCUGAGCAAUACUGCUGGAGUUUUAUUCCUUUUAUGUGAAAUGGAGUUGACGAUUGCUGGCUCUGAAACAUUUGUCACCAAGAACAUAAAUAUGAAAGGACUUUGGAAAACAGAUAGAAUCAUUCUAGUGCGGACUGGGGUUUGCCUUGUGCUAGUUCCAGGCUCAGGCAGAAGACCCAGAAUCCUCUGAUCUCUCACGUGUAGAAAAUUCUAUUUUUGAGAACCUUAAGCCUGAGUGUCCAGUUCAGAGACACCUAUGAAAGCCCCAUCUUAAGACCAGAUCCUCAGAAGAUGCCUGCAAUAGAGAAAUAGCCCUGGUUACAGAGACCAAUCCCACCAGUCACUAGCCGACAUGCAGUAGGAAGACUGCCAUCAAACAAGCAUCUCAGGACAGACUCCUACACAGCCUCGAGGAUGUUAAAACCAAAAAGGCAUUUGGCUCUUUCUCUGAAGGCAAUGGAACACACAGAGCGAAAAGCAAGGAGACACACAUGAAUGAAUAUAUGUACACAGAUAUGUAUUCUCACAGACAUGUCUGAAUAUGAACCUAGAUGCAUAUGUGUCAUAUAUCAAUGCAUGCGCACAAAUGGUUGGGGAAUGCUGGAAAAAUUACUGAGGGAAGAAUGGAAAUAAGUGGCAGCUUCUCAGGGCCAGAAAAAAAAAUGAAUUUAAGGAAAGGAUAGUAACAGGAAACAGUAGAAAGGUCAUGGGCUUUGGUGUCAGAUGACCUUGAGCUCCAGUCCUUACUCGGCCACAUAUUAACCACGUGACCUCAAGCAAGCUAGUUAGCCUCUUUGAGCUCUACUCUUCCAUCCUCUGAAAUGGGUAUAAAUAUUCUUACCCUAUAGAGUUUUGGGGAAGAGAAAACCUGGGGCCUGGCCCAUGGAAGUACCAAUAGAUACUGGGUUUUGUCCAUUGAGCUGAAGCUACUGGUAGGUGCUUGCCUUCUUCUGCAUCCUGAAGCCCAAUACGCUCUGGUGCUCUGAAGUGGCAGCACAUCUAAUGAUAGUCUUUCCUUCUCCAACAGUGGAUCUUGUAGAUGGCUCAGAGAUUUAAGGGGCCUCGAAAAUAAAGGGGGGGGGGCUGAAAAUCUCCCUCUCCAAUUAUGCUCUGUGAAGACAAAGUGAAAAUGAAACCAUAGCAGUCUACGAAGCAAGAAGUGAACCCUCGCCAGACAUCGAAUCUGCUGGUGCCUUGAUCUUGGACUUCUCAACUUCCAGAACUAUGAGAAAAAAUUUCCAUUGUUUAUAAGAUACGCAGUUUAUGUUGUUUUUAUUACAGCAGCCUAAGGAGACUGGGACUAGCUUGGGUCUGCUUCCUAAACUUAAAGAUUUUUGGGAGUUCCCGUCGUGGCACAGUGGUUAACGAAUCCGACUAGGAACCAUGAGGUUGCGGGUUCAGUCCCUGCCCUUGCUCAGUGGGUUAAGGAUCCGGCGUUGCCGUGAGCUGUGGUGUAGGUUGCAGACGCGGCUCGGAUCCCACGUUGCUGUGGCUCUGGCGUAGGCCGGUGGCUACAGCUCCGAUUCGACCCCUAGCCUGGGAACCUCCAUAUGCCGCGGGAGUGGCCCAAAGAAAUAACAAAAAGACAAAAAGAUUUUUGUUAUCUUAUCUUACUUUAUUUUAUUUUUGUUUUUAGGGCUGCACCCACAGCAUAUGGAAGUUCCCAGGCUAGGGGUCGAAUCGGAGCUGCAGCUGCUGGCCUAUAGCACAGUCACAGCAACGCCAGAUCCUUUAACCCACUGAGCGGGGCCAGGGAUCGGAACCCCCAUCCUCAUGGAUACUAGUCAGGUUCGUUUCUGCUGAGCCACAACAGGGAAUCCUAGAGACAUUUUAGAACUGACUUUUUCCCACACUGGUUUGCCUGCUGUACUGAAUUCUGCAAGUAAUGGGCCCCAGGAAACCAGAUUUUGACUUAUUGCACCAAGUUGGUGUGGUCUUGGUGCAAUAAGUCAAAAUCCAGAGCCACAAGAUGACUGGCUGGUUCCAGAUCUCCAGUAUGCCCAUACCUACAUCCCUGCGGUCCAACUGUGAUCCCCACUCCCAGGUGAAAAGCACUUUGCACUGGAAUCUCCACCUUGGAGGUGAGCUGUGUCCAUGCCCAUCACCUGUGCUCACCUGGCCUGCUUGGUCUCAUCUCUCCCCAUGGAGAUCUUCACCCUCCUGCUUCCAGGAGGCCCCCUCUUGGGUGGUGCCCCACCAGGGCUGUGCUCUUUGGUUGGGGCUGGACAGGUGAUGAGAAGCUGGGUGGACACUCCAGUUCUGUCCCUGGUUGAUAUUUUCCCCACCUCAUUCCACCCAGAACAUCUGUUCAUAUUGUUUAUUGAGUGACCACAAGAGUUUGGAUGACAUCUUCCUGGCCAUGGGACAAACUGGGAACUUGGCCAGCCUUUCAACUGGACUCUUCCCACGUUUUCCAUUUUUUCUCUCUCUUCUGUUUUCUUUGUGCUCUUCUCCUGUCUUUUCUCUGCAACUUCAGACUCUCAUGUGCCCUAAUCCCCCUUUCACACCCCCAUGACCCCCUGCUAUGUAUGACAUCUCACCCAGGCCUACCCUUACCUGUAAUUCCUCAUCCAAAGUUACCCUUCCAUCUACCUGAACAACCAAGACCUCUGCUACUCUAGGUUAGACAUUAGGAAGAAAGCAAGCUGAUCUAGCCUAUGUUUGGGAAUCACGUAGCUGCCUUUAAAUUAGCCAUGGCUGGUUUGCUAGCUCUAUGACUUGAGAUAAGAUAUUUAGGAGUUCUCAUUGUGGCUCAGUGGUAAAGAACCUGACUAGUAUCCAUGAGGACAUGGAUUCGAUCCCUGGCCUUGCUCAGUGGGUUAAGGAUCUGGCGUUGCUGUGAACUGUGGUGUAGAUCAUAGACAUAGCUUGGAUCCCCAGUUACUGUGGCUGUGGUGUAGGCAGGUGGGCAGCUGCAUCUCUGAUUUGACCUAUAACCUGGGAACUUCCAUAUGCUUCAGAUGUGGCCCUAAAAAAGACAAAAAAAAAAAAAAAA